This 1236-nucleotide ribosomal RNA is filed under the name metagenome. RNAcentral describes it as "bacterial LSU rRNA". It matches the Rfam family "Bacterial large subunit ribosomal RNA", at positions 1564 to 2808 of the family's 2925-position model. The record is from RNAcentral.
UGAGUACGAGAUGCUACGGCAUCGAAGCAGUCUAUGUCAUACUUCCAAGAAAAGCUUGCAAUGUCAUAAACAAAUAAUGCCUGUACCAUAACCGACACAGGUGGGUAGGUAGAGUAUACUAAGGGGCGCGAGAUAACUCUCUCUAAGGAACUCGGCAAAAUGACUCCGUAACUUCGGGAGAAGGAGUGCCUUAUUUUUAUAAGGUUGCAAUAACAAGAUCCAAGCAACUGUUUACCAAAAACACAGGUCUCCGCUAAGUCGUAAGACGAUGUAUGGGGGCUGACGCCUGCCCAGUGCCAGAAGGUUAAAGAAGUUGGUUAGCAUUAGCGAAGCUGAUAACUGAAGCCCUGGUGAACGGCGGCCGUAACGAUAACGGUCCUAAGGUAGCGAAAUUCCUUGUCGGGUAAGUUCCGACCCGCACGAAAGGCGUAAUGAUUUGGAUACUGUCUCGGAGAGGGGCUCGGUGAAAUAGACUUGUCUGUGAAGAUGCGGACUACCUGCACCUGGACAGAAAGACCCUAUGAAGCUUUACUGUAACUUGAGAUUGAAAUUGGACUUUAUCUGCGCAGUAUAGGUGGGAGACGUUGAAAAUAUUCUUGCGGGAAUAUUGGAGUCAUCAGUGAGAUACCACUCUUAUAAUGUUAGAUUUCUAACUUUGUAUCAUUAUCUGGUCAAAGAACAGUUUCAGGCGGGCAGUUUGACUGGGGCGGUCGCCUCCCAAACGGUAACGGAGGCGCACAAAGGUUUCCUCUGAACGUGUAGAAAUCGUAUCUAGAGUGUAAAGGCAUAAGGAAGCUUGACUGUGAGACCUACAAGUCGAGCAGGGACGAAAGUCGGUCUUAGUGAUCUGACGGUGCUGAGUGGAAAGGCCGUCACUCAACGGAUAAAAGUUACUCUAGGAUAACAGGCUGAUCUCCCCCAAGAGUUCACAUCGACGGGGAGGUUUGGCACCUCGAUGUCGGCUCAUCGCAUCCUGGGGCGGUAGUACGUCCCAAGGGUUGGGCUGUUCGCCCAUGAAAGCGGUACGCGAGCUGGGUUCAGAACGUCGUGAGACAGUUCGGUCCAUAUCCGGUGUAGGCGUUAGAAUAUUGAGAGGAGCCUUCUUUAGUACGAGAGGACCGAGAAGGACAUACCUCUGGUGUACCAGUUAUCGUGCCAACGGUAAACGCUGGGUAGCCAUGUAUGGAGAGGAUAACCGCUGAAAGCAUCUAAGUGGGAAGCCCACCUCAAGAUAAG